UACGGAAGGCAGCAGUGGGGAAUAUUGCACAAUGGGCGCAAGCCUGAUGCAGCCAUGCCGCGUGUAUGAAGAAGGCCUUCGGGUUGUAAAGUACUUUCAGUCGUGAGGAAGGUGUUAAGGUUAAUAACCUUAGCAAUUGACGUUAGCGACAGAAGAAGCACCGGCUAACUCCGUGCCAGCAGCCGCGGUAAUACGGAGGGUGCGAGCGUUAAUCGGAAUUACUGGGCGUAAAGGGCACGCAGGCGGUUAAUUAAGUUGGAUGUGAAAUCCCCGGGCUUAACCUGGGAAUGGCAUUCAAGACUGGUUAGCUAGAGUCUUGUAGAGGGGGUAGAAUUCCAUGUGUAGCGGUGAAAUGCGUAGGGAUGUGGAGGAAUACCGGUGGGCGAAGGCGGGCCCCCUGGGACAAAGACUGACGCUCAUGUGCGAAAGCGUGGGGAGCAAACAGGGAUUAGAUACC
RNAcentral lists this ribosomal RNA (457 nucleotides) under uncultured bacterium. RNAcentral's name for it is "bacterial SSU rRNA". It matches the Rfam family "Bacterial small subunit ribosomal RNA", at positions 340 to 786 of the family's 1533-position model. The record is from RNAcentral.